AAAACAGAAAGAGGCUGAUAAUAGGGAAACUUUCUCAAUAAAUUAAAGGAAACACAUGUAUAUACAUUGAUAGGAAAGCAUUAGAAUAAUUGGACAUUUCUACAAAUAGGAUCCAGAUUUACCACAGUAAUAGAAAUAGAGACGCGGGAUCAUAAUGUAGCAAAGAACAGAAACAUCAAUUUAGAGGAUAAAUAAGGGUGAUUGUAGAGAUGCAAGUCUUGGAUAAUUCAGUUCAGACAGGAGCAAUGGUUCUCUGAAAACACAGUACAGAUAAGUCGGAAUUGGCAAACACAAAGUCUUAUCACGUAACCCGGUGAUACUUGUCGCAGGCAGACGACAUAAGUAAAAUGUCCAAAAAGGGUGGUCACAAUCAUAACAUCUCCAUUUAUUUCAUAGCUCCCAAAGUAGACGAGCCAAUCUUUGCUCAGGGAGAUGAAGUUUCUUUUUCGAAGAAGAGGUCUUGAUUGUGUGAGUUGCAGAUCUGUAAAUCGUGAAGAUAGGUGUUAAUAUAUAUGUGCGUCAAAAAAUAGAAUCUUGAACAGGGAGUUUAGUAUAAUGUGGCUAUUUACCUUUUUGCCUUUUUCUUGUUUGUGCUACUGGGAGCAUUAUUGACAAGUGCAAUUUGGAUCAUCCGGUGUCUGUUGGCUGGCUGGCAGUGGCGUUUUUU
This 667-nucleotide long non-coding RNA is filed under the name Triticum aestivum (bread wheat). RNAcentral's name for it is "long non-coding RNA (TAES_LNC028451)". Lineage: Eukaryota; Viridiplantae; Streptophyta; Magnoliopsida; Poales; Poaceae. The record is from RNAcentral.